RNAcentral lists this ribosomal RNA (484 nucleotides) under uncultured bacterium. RNAcentral describes it as "partial 16S ribosomal RNA". It matches the Rfam family "Bacterial small subunit ribosomal RNA", at positions 30 to 507 of the family's 1533-position model. The record is from RNAcentral.
AUUGAACGCUGGCGGCAGGCCUAACACAUGCAAGUCGAGCGGAUGAAGGGAGCUUGCUCCUGGAUUCAGCGGCGGACGGGUGAGUAAUGCCUAGGAAUCUGCCUGGUAGUGGGGGAUAACGUCCGGAAACGGGCGCUAAUACCGCAUACGUCCUGAGGGAGAAAGUGGGGGAUCUUCGGACCUCACGCUAUCAGAUGAGCCUAGGUGGGAUUAGCUAGUUGGUAGGGUAAAGGCCUACCAAGGCGACGAUCCGUAACUGGUCUGAGAGGAUGAUCAGUCACACUGGAACUGAGACACGGUCCAGACUCCUACGGGAGGCAGCAGUGGGGAAUAUUGGACAAUGGGCGAAAGCCUGAUCCAGCCAUGCCGCGUGUGUGAAGAAGGUCUUCGGAUUGUAAAGCACUUUAAGUUGGGAGGAACGGCAGUAAGUUAAUACCUUGCUGUUUUGACGUUACCAACAGAAUAAGCACCGGCUAACUUCGUG